AGGUAUCUGAGAACAAAAGGCGGUAACAAAAAGGAUGGAUUUGAUUUGGAUCUCACCUAUGUCACAGGCACUCUACAGAAAUCCCAUAAAAGAAGCUGCCAUAUUUCUGGACACAAAGCAUCCCGAUCAUUACAGAGUUUACAAUCUCUGCAGUCAAAAAGGCUACGAUCCACUGUUCUUCCAUUACAGAGUGCAACGAGUGAUGAUUGACGACCAUAACGUACCGUCAUUAGACCAACCCACUCGUUAGGACUCCCCCUAUCACUAGUAAUGCCCCAACACACCAGGAGGAUGAAGACUAGCGCACUCUUUCUCCGAUACAUGUGAAGUCAGCCACCGCUUUUUUUCGAGCUGCUGCUGAUGCAGCAUUGCCAAGCAGCCAGCACAUUUGGAGGAAAGCGCAGCGGCAGGUGAACCCGAGGAACCUGAGGAAAGUGGUGGGAAAUCUCGAGCCAGGUCAGACCUUGGGUUGGGUUUGGGCAGAGAACCUAAGCUCUUAUUCACAUAUUGAACUUUGUGUUAUUGUGUUCUCAGUGACAUGUUGAACUACACUGCCAGUUUGAGGGAAUAUCAUUGCCAUCCACUGCAAAGGAGGCAAAGGUGUGGGAAAGGGCAAUGGCAGUGAUCUGAAGGUGCGGAUCAUAGUGAAAAGAGAGCAGGUGUUCCAGUGUGUCUGUGCCACGCAGACGAACUGUAGGCUGUUCCCAGAUACUGAAAACAAUGCCGUGGUGAUCAGCUUUCAGGAAGGGCCAGUGGUUUGUGGUGAUGUUAAGGUCAUGUUUGAAUCCAGGGCUGGUCUUCCAAAGGGGUAUGAGGACUAUCCUUUCUAUUUCUGGUUCAACACUUCAUUUGUAGAGAACAACAGGCUCUAUCUGUCAAGGGAGGAACUGGACAACCCACGUAAGUCCAAAACCUGGGACAUCUACAAGGAGGACUUUGGUGUGACCGUGUCUUUCAGUGACCCUGCACUUAUGUAGCAGACGACACUUGCUUGUGUAUCUCAACUAAAACCCUUAAGCCCUGCACAAGGUCUAAAUCUUUGCUCUAAUGUAGGUUUUCACACACUUAUAAAAGGUGAGUGAUGUUUAGGGAUUGGAUUCGGGCAUAUAGUGCCCCUAAAGCUAUAGCUAUAGCUAUAUAACCUCAACUUUAUGUCCAUCCCCCAUCUUCACUGUAAGAGCUUUUUACUGAGCCGUGCAUACAUCACAAUAUUAUGCAUUUGUUUGUCAAAUGUUUUUUUGUCUUUAAAUGAAGACAAAUGUUUGUGUCAGUUUAGCAUAUUAUGCUUCCAAAAUGUAAAUCUUACUCUUUAAGCUUGAGUGUACAUCAAAUAAAGCAAUCGAGGCUGCCACUGUGAAAUGGUCAAUGGUUAUGUGUGCAGAAACAUUUUUUUGUAGUACACAUGUAUUGAAAUAAAUACUAAUGUCUCUGUAA
Molecule: long non-coding RNA, 1434 nt
Organism: Astyanax mexicanus (Mexican tetra)
Lineage: Eukaryota; Metazoa; Chordata; Actinopteri; Characiformes; Acestrorhamphidae
Exons: 10
Source: RefSeq, a predicted model, not a curated record